RNAcentral lists this unclassified non-coding RNA (1713 nucleotides) under Leishmania donovani. RNAcentral's name for it is "gene:unknown". The record is from RNAcentral. Lineage: Eukaryota; Euglenozoa; Kinetoplastea; Trypanosomatida; Trypanosomatidae.
AACAAGUCGAAGAUGGCCAGGCGCGCAUGCCCAGUCUCACAACCAUCCGUCCUGGGCCCUCUUCGCCUCAUCAUGAUGGUGAGCCCCCCGAGUGUGCACCGCAACAGGACGCCGGCACGGCACCACGCCAUCUGUGCUCAUCACACCACACUCCCCACAUCCUCCGCGGGCAAGGAUGUCAUGCAGGGCACGCUACGAUUCACCCUCUGCAAGUUGGGGCGCUGGACACUCCAGCACGCCAGGCAGCGGGGUGAGCAUCCCCCCAAACAAGGCACACAUGCGCCGGUGCGCGGCACUGCGACCAGCAGCAGCUGUCCGCUGCGCAAGGUAACCUGCUUACGCACGUCCCACCCGCGCUGCAGGGGCUGCCCCCGCGGCGUGUUUAACGCUGCGGACAGUGCCCCUUCAGGACGACGGGCUGUGAGCUCUGUGUGUGCGCAGGCGCAUGUCUCUCGGCGGGCCCCCUCCACUUGACGCGCCCACGCCUUCGAAAGGCCUGCGGAUGCAGGGAAGGGUGGAGUACCCCUGUUGCCGCAGUCUCGUGGCAGCGUCCUAGCUGGCGCAGCACACGCGGGGAAGCGAUCCAGACACGCCCCCAUGACAUCGAAGGCGAUGGAAGGUGAACACAGCAGGCCCCUACCCUCCCCCCACUGGCGGCAACGUUGUGCUGAGGCAGGCCCCAGGAUUCACUAGUGUGAGCACUGUACAGCACGAGCUACCAUGCACAGCCGGCAUGGCGUAUCACACCCGAGCAAGGCAUCCAGAGGUCAGCAGAGCAAGAGGAAUAGACGGAAAAGGUGCGAAGAGAUGCAUAGGAAUCAACGCCACAGCGCAUGCGUGCGAAAUGUGCAGCAUCUCCUUCAUCCGACCGGGUGGACUGAUGAGGCGCAGAUGCCGGAAGCGCGACGAGGGCACGCCACGCGUUGCACCAUCGAGACCUCGAGGCUCCCAUGUGAAGAGUCCACGCACCACAUUCUGGGGUGCCGCGGCUUGAAGCGCCUCAGAGGGCGGAGCAAGGCAUAUAGGCAGGGUGUGCAGAGGGCUGCAGCGAGGGCCCUGGCCUGCAGCUGGCCAGCUUCCUUCUCGAGCGUACCCGGCAUGCACCUUCAUCAACCCCUACUACUCGCACGGUCGACGCCACCGCCUCCGCCCUCGAGCAGGGCCCUGGAGGCGGCCGGCGUUGGAUCAAGGCAAGCAGAGCCCGUACAACGCAUGGCCCGGAUGCGACGGCAGGACGGUUCGUCCUAGACGGCGAGGUUGUAGCCGUAUUCCUGCAAAGGCAGGUGGGCUGUGGGUGCUUGUGUGUGUGUGUGUCUACUUCUUGACCUGUUCGUUGGUGGCAUGGGCACGCUGUUGUGCGAAAAAAAAAAAGCAAUUCUUCUCGGCACCGUUUGCGUUCCUAUGUGACCGCUGGUUUGGUUUUCUCUUCAGUCUCUUCACUUGCCAUGGGCUUGCUCAGGCGCCUUGGGCAUUUGCGUGAGGGUGUUGCUCCUCGGAAGGGAACAUGCGCUCUAAUACGCACUGCGUAGGCGAGAUGCACUCCUCAGCAUUGCAUCACCACCCGCCUACCCAUACUGCUGAAUGUGCCUGUCCCCUCCCUUACCUGUUUAGGUUCUGUCGUCGUCUCCUCUCCCCGCCCCCCCCCUAAGACACGCGUUGUCAGUCUCUGGCGGUGGAUGUCUCCGAUGGCAGGCGAAACAUUAACUUAGAAAG